This 912-nucleotide ribosomal RNA is filed under the name Mollisia panicicola. Its description in RNAcentral is "eukaryotic LSU rRNA". It matches the Rfam family "Eukaryotic large subunit ribosomal RNA", at positions 1 to 937 of the family's 3401-position model. The record is from RNAcentral. Lineage: Eukaryota; Fungi; Ascomycota; Leotiomycetes; Helotiales; Mollisiaceae.
GGUUGACCUCGGAUCAAGUAGGGAUACCCGCUGAACUUAAGCAUAUCAAUAAGCGGAGGAAAAGAAACCAACAGGGAUUACNUUAGUAACGGCGAGUGAAGCGGUAACUGCUCAAAUUUGAAAGCUGCCAACAGGCCGCGUUGUAAUUUGUAGAAGAUGCUUUGGGUGUCGGCCCAGUCUAAGUUCCUUGGAACAGGACGUCAUAGAGGGUGAGAAUCCCGUAUGUGAUUGGUGCCGUCCCCCGUGUAAAGCUCUUUCGACGAGUCGAGUUGUUUGGGAAUGCAGCUCAAAAUGGGUGGUAAAUUUCAUCUAAAGCUAAAUAUUGGCCAGAGACCGAUAGCGCACAAGUAGAGUGAUCGAAAGAUGAAAAGCACUUUGGAAAGAGAGUUAAACAGUACGUGAAAUUGUUGAAAGGGAAGCGCUUGCAAUCAGACUUGCAGGCGGUUGAUCAUCCGAGGUUCUCCCCGGUGCACUCGAUCGUCUUCAGGCCAGCAUCGGUUUCAGUGGUGGGAUAAAGGCUGUGAGAACGUGGCUCUUCGGAGUGUUAUAGCUCACGGUGCAAUGCCGCCUACUGGGACCGAGGACCGCGCUUCGGCUAGGAUGCUGGCGUAAUGGUUGUAAGCGACCCGUCUUGAAACACGGACCAAGGAGUCUAACAUCUAUGCGAGUGUUUGGGUGUCAAACCCAUACGCGUAAUGAAAGUGAACGGAGGUGAGACCCCAUUAGGGCGCAUCAUCGACCGAUCCUGAUGUCUUCGGAUGGAUUUGAGUAAGAGCAUAGCUGUUGGGACCCGAAAGAUGGUGAACUAUGCGUGAAUAGGGUGAAGCCAGAGGAAACUCUGGUGGAGGCUCGCAGCGGUUCUGACGUGCAAAUCGAUCGUCAAAUUUGCGUAUAGGGGCGAAAGACUAAUCG